GGUAGGAAACCCCAAUGCUCCCUACUAGUCUGACUCACAUGAAGCAGGGACAGAGGUGAAACUGUAUCAGGAGACACGUCUGGAAUGUACUAGAAGUGGAUUCCUUGCUGUCUCUGCAAAGCCAUUCUGUUACUUCUCGAGAAAGGGGACAGCUGUUUUCGUCUCUGUGCUGGGAUCUGUCUCACCACCAAGAAGCAGAUUGUCCUAUGAGGAGUUUGGAUUUGGCCGCUUUAGAACCAGGGUCCUGCCCCACUACUGAGUCUUUCCCCUGCAACACAGAAGCUGGCCAACUCAAGUCUUGGACCAUUUAAUCUGUUUCAGGUCCAUUCCAACAGAAUGACCAGUUGUGUACAAAGGAGCUCCAUGGCUACAUUUAAAUAUUGACUGCUUUGAGGACAAGAAACUACCAAGUGGCAUAAAAGCCACAUGGUUAAUAUUUUGUAGGCUGUCUCCAGGAAGAUACACGCACAGCAUUCAGAAGGAAAAAGCAUCAGUUUAAACACUUUCUCUCUCAUCCCCAUCUCCAUUCAAUAAAACAGACAAGCCAAAAUAAAAUGAAACAACAAAUAAAACUCAGCCUGGACCCUA
Mesocricetus auratus (golden hamster) is the source of this 588-nucleotide long non-coding RNA. RefSeq lists it as uncharacterized. The transcript has 2 exons. Lineage: Eukaryota; Metazoa; Chordata; Mammalia; Rodentia; Cricetidae. The record is from RefSeq and is a predicted model, not a curated record.